This 460-nucleotide ribosomal RNA is filed under the name NC10 bacterium enrichment culture clone CSTR 3-15. RNAcentral describes it as "bacterial SSU rRNA". It matches the Rfam family "Bacterial small subunit ribosomal RNA", at positions 977 to 1434 of the family's 1533-position model. Lineage: Bacteria; Methylomirabilota (SeqCode). The record is from RNAcentral.
GGGCUUGACAUCCCACGAACCUGCCCGAAAAGGCGGGGUGUCCGCAAGGGAGCGUGGAGACAGGUGGUGCAUGGCUGUCGUCAGCUCGUGUCGUGAGAUGUUGGGUUAAGUCCCGCAACGAGCGCAACCCUCACCCCUAGUUGCCACCGGGUCAUGCCGAGCACUCAAGGGGAACUGCCAGCGUCAAGCUGGAGGAAGGCGGGGAUGACGUCAAGUCAUCAUGCCCCUUACGCCCUGGGCUACACACGUGCUACAAUGGCCGGUACAAAGGGAUGCGAGACCGCGAGGUGGAGCUAAUCCCAAAAAGCUGGUCUAAGUUCAGAUUGCAGUCCGCAACUCGACUGCAUGAAGGAGGAAUCGCUAGUAAUCGCGCAUCAGCCCGGCGCGGUGAAUACGUUCCCGGGCCUUGUACACACCGCCCGUCACACCACGAAAGCUGUCUGUACUCGAAGUCGCUGAG